This 291-nucleotide ribosomal RNA is filed under the name Triticum aestivum (bread wheat). RNAcentral describes it as "partial small subunit ribosomal RNA". Lineage: Eukaryota; Viridiplantae; Streptophyta; Magnoliopsida; Poales; Poaceae. The record is from RNAcentral.
AUGCGGAUAACGAUGCUACUACCCAAGGACGGGAUGAAGGUGAUUAACGGAGGACCAGCUGCUUGCAGAGGGACACAGGCGCUGCCAAGAAAAGCAGAACUGGUACAGUUAAAGCAUUUGGACCACGCUCCCCCUCUCUCUCUUCAUACAUCAAAAUUGCAGCUACCUCUUUUCUUUCUUUGUUGCUGCUUGGUCAGAGCUCUCUUUUUAACUGCUAUGCCUCUUUUGCCAAAUAUAAAUAUAAACAAUCUACUUAUCCGAUUGUUUGUUGGAGCAGCCCAACUUAUCUGA